UAAGCACCAUAUGCUCCAAGAUGUAGUGAUUCAAAGAGGAGAAAAAUGUGCAGGUAGUGUGCUACAUGAGGGGCAAGUCUUUCCUAACACCACAAGGGUCUCUGUCCCAAUUAAUGGAGUUUGAUAGUAAUUCUGGCUACGAGU
This is a small nucleolar RNA of Panthera pardus (leopard), 144 nucleotides long. NCBI's taxonomy places the organism in Eukaryota, Metazoa, Chordata, Mammalia, Carnivora, Felidae. The record is from Ensembl.